This 936-nucleotide ribosomal RNA is filed under the name Salmonella enterica subsp. enterica serovar Bredeney. RNAcentral describes it as "partial 23S ribosomal RNA". It matches the Rfam family "Bacterial large subunit ribosomal RNA", at positions 711 to 1644 of the family's 2925-position model. The record is from RNAcentral. Lineage: Bacteria; Pseudomonadati; Pseudomonadota; Gammaproteobacteria; Enterobacterales; Enterobacteriaceae.
AGACCCGAAACCCGGUGAUCUAGCCAUGGGCAGGUUGAAGGUUGGGUAACACUAACUGGAGGACCGAACCGACUAAUGUUGAAAAAUUAGCGGAUGACCUGUGGCUGGGGGUGAAAGGCCAAUCAAACCGGGAGAUAGCUGGUUCUCCCCGAAAGCUAUUUAGGUAGCGCCUCGUGAAUUCAUCUCCGGGGGUAGAGCACUGUUUCGGCUAGGGGGCCAUCCCGGCUUACCAACCCGAUGCAAACUGCGAAUACCGGAGAAUGUUAUCACGGGAGACACACGGCGGGUGCUAACGUCCGUCGUGAAGAGGGAAACAACCCAGACCGCCAGCUAAGGUCCCAAAGUCAUGGUUAAGUGGGAAACGAUGUGGGAAGGCCCAGACAGCCAGGAUGUUGGCUUAGAAGCAGCCAUCAUUUAAAGAAAGCGUAAUAGCUCACUGGUCGAGUCGGCCUGCGCGGAAGAUGUAACGGGGCUAAACCAUGCACCGAAGCUGCGGCAGCGACGCUGAUGCGUUGUUGGGUAGGGGAGCGUUCUGUAAGCCUGCGAAGGUGGCCUGUGAGGGUUGCUGGAGGUAUCAGAAGUGCGAAUGCUGACAUAAGUAACGAUAAAGCGGGUGAAAAGCCCGCUCGCCGGAAGACCAAGGGUUCCUGUCCAACGUUAAUCGGGGCAGGGUGAGUCGACCCCUAAGGCGAGGCCGAAAGGCGUAGUCGAUGGGAAACGGGUUAAUAUUCCCGUACUUGGUGUUACUGCGAAGGGGGGACGGAGAAGGCUAUGUUGGCCGGGCGACGGUUGUCCCGGUUUAAGCGUGUAGGUGUGUGUUCCAGGUAAAUCCGGUUCACUUUAACACUGAGGCGUGAUGACGAGGCACUACGGUGCUGAAGCAACAAAUGCCCUGCUUCCAGGAAAAGCCUCUAAGCAUCAGGUAACAUCAAAUCG